This 249-nucleotide long non-coding RNA is filed under the name Ananas comosus (pineapple). RNAcentral's name for it is "long non-coding RNA (ACOM_LNC010898)". The record is from RNAcentral. Lineage: Eukaryota; Viridiplantae; Streptophyta; Magnoliopsida; Poales; Bromeliaceae.
UUUACAGUAAAAUAAAUUAUUCCCUAUUAAACUGUCUCAAUAACACACUAUCUAUUUAUUUAUAUUUUUUAAAAUAAAUUUAAUUAAACUGAUCGUCCUUAGAGCAAGUGGCAAAGGGUAACGUGCUACCUAUCUCUCAAAAAAAUAAUAAUAAUAAUUUAAAAUAUCUAUUAACAUAUAUAAUUUUUCAAUAAUCUUGCUGAUGUGGCACAACCAUAUUACUUUAGAAGUUUUUUUUUUUUUAAAAUU